GCAGUAGCCGCGGGAAAACAGAGGGUGCGAGCGUUAAUCGGAUUUACUGGGCGUAAAGCGUGCGUAGGCGGCUUUUUAAGUCGGAUGUGAAAUCCCUGAGCUUAACUUAGGAAUUGCAUUCGAUACUGGGAAGCUAGAGUAUGGGAGAGGAUGGUAGAAUUCCAGGUGUAGCGGUGAAAUGCGUAGAGAUCUGGAGGAAUACCGAUGGCGAAGGCAGCCAUCUGGCCUAAUACUGACGCUGAGGUACGAAAGCAUGGGGAGCAAACAGGAUUAGAUACCCGCGUAGUCCCUGUCUCUUAUAC
This 302-nucleotide ribosomal RNA is filed under the name uncultured bacterium. RNAcentral's name for it is "partial 16S ribosomal RNA". It matches the Rfam family "Bacterial small subunit ribosomal RNA", at positions 508 to 807 of the family's 1533-position model. The record is from RNAcentral.